GACGAACGCUGGCGGCGUGCUUAACACAUGCAAGUCGAACGGAAAGGCCCUGCUUUUGUGGGGUGCUCGAGUGGCGAACGGGUGAGUAACACGUGAGUAACCUGCCCUUGACUUUGGGAUAACUUCAGGAAACUGGGGCUAAUACCGGAUAGGAGCUCCUGCUGCAUGGUGGGGGUUGGAAAGUUUCGGCGGUUGGGGAUGGACUCGCGGCUUAUCAGCUUGUUGGUGGGGUAGUGGCUUACCAAGGCUUUGACGGGUAGCCGGCCUGAGAGGGUGACCGGCCAAAUUGGGACUGAGAUACGGCCAAGACUCCUACGGGAGGCAGCAGUGGGGAAUAUUGCACAAUGGGCGGAAGCCUGAUGCAGCAACGCCGCGUGCGGGAUGACGGCCUUCGGGUUGUAAACCGCUUUCGCCUGUGACGAAGCGUGAGUGACGGUAAUGGGUAAAGAAGCACCGGCUAACUACGUG
RNAcentral lists this ribosomal RNA (468 nucleotides) under uncultured bacterium. RNAcentral describes it as "partial 16S ribosomal RNA". It matches the Rfam family "Bacterial small subunit ribosomal RNA", at positions 28 to 507 of the family's 1533-position model. The record is from RNAcentral.